Neopelma chrysocephalum (saffron-crested tyrant-manakin) is the source of this 437-nucleotide long non-coding RNA. RefSeq lists it as uncharacterized. The transcript is spliced from 3 exons. Lineage: Eukaryota; Metazoa; Chordata; Aves; Passeriformes; Pipridae. The record is from RefSeq and is a predicted model, not a curated record.
CCCCCAGGGCGGUGCCCGGUGCUGGAGCAGAAGGAAUUCGGGGCCGCGCUCCGGGAUGAACCCUGCGGGAAGGAAACGGCCCCGGGACACGCCGGGCUCUGCAGGGGUCACUACAGCGAGUACCUGGUGGGGCUGGUGAACCGGCACGGGCUGGACCCGGCGCCUCUCUAUGACCGGGCCGAGCUGCGCGCGGCCGCCGAGCGCCACCUGCCGGCCGGGAGGACCCGGCGCGGCCCCGCCGAGAGCGACGCCGCCUUCGAGCAGCGACUGCGCCACCUGCUGGAGAGGGAGGCGCCGCUAAGGCCACGCCCCCCCGGCCAGGGACACGCCCCCUUAUGCAAAUGAAGGGUGUGCUGAGCCACGCCCGCUUUUAUGCAAAUAAAGAUAUAUAUGUCUGCUCAUUAGAGGUGGAGCCACGCCCCCUUUUAUGCAAAUAA